UACAUAUACAAAGGCCAUCUACAAUCGUCGGCAUUGUCGUAAAACUUUUUGUGUCAUCGAGUUGUUAGACAAAUAUUUCCGCGGCGGUUCGGUUCGGGAGACCACCACCUCCACCACCGCAGACGGUAUUGAAUUGGAGGGGAGCAACACAAGGACACACGAUGAAUGGCCUGACGAAGAGGGGCACAAUAGGGGCUCUCCUUCUCCGUCGCCGCCGCCGCAGUCGACAGUCUUUCUCUGUUUCUUUCCUGUCUUUUCCAUCACUUUCCUCCGGACGUCGUCAUCGUUGUCCCGGUCACUACCUUAACCACCAGGCUGUUUGUGUUCAAUUACCUGCGGGCGUUUUGUGUAUGUUCGCGU
This is a non-coding RNA of Caenorhabditis elegans, 360 nucleotides long. The record is from Ensembl. Lineage: Eukaryota; Metazoa; Nematoda; Chromadorea; Rhabditida; Rhabditidae.